GAUGAAGAACGUAGCGAAAUGCGAUAAGUAAUGUGAAUUGCAGAAUUCAGUGAAUCAUCGAAUCUUUGAACGCACCUUGCGCUCCUUGGUAUUCCGAGGAGCAUGCCUGUUUGAGUGUCAUUAAAUUCUCAACCAUUAUCAACUUUUGCUGAUAAUGGCUUGGAUGUGGGGGUCUAUUUUGCUGGCUUCUCAGAUAGUCAGCUCCCCUUAAAUGCAUUAGCCGGUGCCCCGCGUGGACUGUCUAUUGGUGUGAUAAUUAUCUACGCUAUAGAAAUCUGCAAUCAUAUGGGUUUGCGCUGCUUCUAACAGUCUGUUGAUUCAGACAAUACAUGACAAUUUGACCUCAAAUCAGGUAGGACUACCCGCUGAACUUAAGCAUAUCAAUAAGCGGAGGA
RNAcentral lists this unclassified non-coding RNA (395 nucleotides) under soil metagenome. Its description in RNAcentral is "partial contains 5.8S ribosomal RNA, internal transcribed spacer 2, and large subunit ribosomal RNA". The stretch from base 1 to 120 matches the Rfam family "5.8S ribosomal RNA", at positions 35 to 154 of the family's 154-position model. The record is from RNAcentral.